UUUUUUUUUUUUUUUUGAGACAGGGUCUCACACCGUCACCCAGGCGGGAGUGCAGUGGCACAGUCACAGCUCACUGCCGCCUCAACCUCCCGAGCUCAGGUGAUCCUCCCACCUCAGCCCCCUGAGUAGCUGGGACUACAGACACCCUCCUCUAUGCCUGGCUAAUUUUUGUAUUUUUUAUAGAGACAGAGUUUUGCCAUGUUCCCCCAGGCAGGUCUCAAACUCCUGGGCUCUAAUUAUCCACCCCCCUCGGCCUCCCAAAGUGUUAGGAUUAUAGGCGUGAGCCACUGCACCCAGCCUUUUCUUUUCCGAUGAAUAUACAAAUUUAAAACAAAUAGAGAUGGGGUCUCAUUAUAUUGCCCAGGCUGGUCCCGAACUCUUUAACUCAAGCUAUCCUCCCACCUCGGCCUUCCGAAGUGCUAGGAUUACAGGCAUGGGCCACCUCGCCUGACCGUUCUUGUUUCUUGAGCAUGUGAAACACACUCCCACCUUAGGGUCUCUGCGUCUGCUGUUCCUUCUGCCUGGAACACUUGUCCCUGUAAUAUCCACAUGACCCGCUCCCUCUCCUUCUUCAGGUCCUUACCACUCUGCCCAUAAUGGCUGUCUCCUUAAACUGCUUUAUUUUUGUUCUCACAAUCAUCUGACCUGCAUUUGUCUGUAUUUGUUUAUGUGUUUGUCUGCCUCCUCCUGCUCAGUUUAAGUUCCACGAGAACAGGAUCUCAUCUGUUUUUGUCCACUGCUGUGUCUUUAGCACCUGGCAGGUAGUAAAUGCUUAGUGAAUAUAUUUGUUGAAUGUUUUAAGCUAUAGCUACUAACCUGAUCCCCAUUCUCUAAGCAGAGGACAUUGAGGCACUGAGAGGUUACGUAACUUGCCCAGUGGCUUACAUAUCCACACACUCAGAGAUGCUAUGAGCCAAGUUUUGAAUCCAGACGAAGCUCUCCUAAUCACUCCACCUACUGCCCCAUGUGCGUGUAAUGGGCAGUCAGUAGAUAUUGCUACAACUUGUCACUGAUGUUGAUUAAGAACUCUGGUCUCAAGUAGUAAAGGGGCUACCUCAGGCAAGGAAUAUCAGGAUUGGCUUGGGAACAGAAGCUCUUUAGUGUGGGUGUGCCUCAGUGUCCAUGGGGUCUCCUGGGGAUGCCUGUGCCUGGGCUGGGGAAGCCUAGGAACUAAACUCUAGGGUGGUCAUUUUUAGGUUUGUUAAUUCAUUAGCGUCCUCUUCAGAUAUUCCCCGGGACUCUACAGGGAGUGGAAUUUAUCCAGGGGCUUUUAGGCCUGAGUGGGCCAGGCUGGCCCUGCCUAGUGUGGGAGGUCAGGGGCCC
Macaca fascicularis (crab-eating macaque) is the source of this 1323-nucleotide long non-coding RNA. NCBI's taxonomy places the organism in Eukaryota, Metazoa, Chordata, Mammalia, Primates, Cercopithecidae. The record is from Ensembl.